Molecule: ribosomal RNA, 519 nt
Filed under: uncultured eukaryote
Lineage: Eukaryota
Description: SSU rRNA
Rfam family: Eukaryotic small subunit ribosomal RNA
Source: RNAcentral
AGGGCACCACCAGGAGUGGAGCCUGCGGCUUAAUUUGACUCAACACGGGAAAACUUACCCGGCCCGGACACUGGAAGGAUUGACAGAUUGAGAGCUCUUUCUUGAUUCAGUGGGUGGUGGUGCAUGGCCGUUCUUAGUUGGUGGAGCGAUUUGUCUGGUUAAUUCCGAUAACGAACGAGGCUCUAGCCUACUAAAUAGACUACCGUUCCUUUGUGACGGUAGGACUUCUUAGAGGGACAGGCGGCGACUCAGCCGCACGAAACAGAGCAAUAACAGGUCUGUGAUGCCCUUAGAUGUCCGGGGCCGCACGCGCGCUACACUGAAGUGAUCAGCGUGCAUUAAUAACCCUCUCUGUCAAGAGUGGGUAACCCAUUGAACCUUCUUCGUGAUUGGGAUAGGGUAUUGUAAUUCUUACCCUUGAACGAGGAAUUCCCAGUAAGCGCGAGUCAUAAGCUUGCGUUGAUUACGUCCCUGCCCUUUGUACACACCGCCCGUCGCCACUACCGAUUGAAUGAUUUA